Molecule: non-coding RNA, 298 nt
Organism: Camelina sativa (false flax)
Lineage: Eukaryota; Viridiplantae; Streptophyta; Magnoliopsida; Brassicales; Brassicaceae
Source: RefSeq, a predicted model, not a curated record
CCACUCCAGGUAAACCAACUCCUCCUACAGGAGGGAAAGAAGAUAAAAGCCCAGGAAACGGUGGACCCGGAGCCCCAGGGAAUCCUCCAUAGCCACCCAUUCUGGCCAUAGGUCCACCAAAAGCUUGUUCAAACCCUUGCCCCAUCAUUGGUUGAUGCAUCAUAUUCAUAGGAGGCCCUGUACCCAUGCCCUGACCAAAAGCACCAUUACCCAUCAAACCUCUUCCCAUCCCGUUAGGCCUAUUCCUCAUUGGACCACCAGGUCCUCUACCACCCGGAGCAUUGCCUCUACCCCAAUU